This 826-nucleotide long non-coding RNA is filed under the name Mytilus galloprovincialis (Mediterranean mussel). The record is from RNAcentral. Lineage: Eukaryota; Metazoa; Mollusca; Bivalvia; Mytilida; Mytilidae.
AAUUGAUUGACUAUUAAUUAUUGUUAAUAUUUUUACAUGUAGUAUUACUUGCUUCCAUUUUAUCUAAAAAAAAUUUUUUUUGAAAUAAAAAAAAAGCCAGCUUGUUUAUGUUCAGUAUUGAGGAAUAUAACACAAGAUAAACCUCAAAACAUUCAUAUACAUGAGACCAUUGCAGGGUUCUCACUAAGGCAAGUCCAUGAGUCCUGGACUCAUCAAAAUCUGUCUGGACUCACCAUUUUCAAAACUGGUGAGUCCACAGAUGCAUCAAGAUUGAAAUAUUUUGUAUAAACGGAACACAAUUAAACACAAAUAUCAUCAUUUUAUAGCAAAAGUUUAAAAGUUAUCUGAAUUUGAUAUUUCAUUUCAUUGCUCUGUUAGGAAAUGGAGACUAAAAUAUUACUUUAUAUUGCAAUAAAAUAUUUUCUUCUUGCUGUUGGACUCAUGAUACCUAAAAUUGAUGAGUCCCUGGAAAAUCCUUAUCGAGAACCCUGCCAUUGUCAAUCAUCAUACAAAAAAUGUACAGAUAUUGCUAAUUAUUACAUUGGUUGCAAUGAAUUACAUUGAUUUCCCAGUUAAAUAAAAACCGAUAAUUUCACAUGUGAAAUUAACAUGGUUAUUUCACUCUCUGACGUCAUACAACAGUAGGCGUUGUCAAGACGUCAAUAACGGCGGAUCAAAACAAAAUGUGAAUGCGUAGAAAAAAAGAUAUAGUUCCUUACAAGUUUUACAUUAAUUUCUUUUAAAAAAGCCAUUGCCAAUGUAAUAAAAAGAAUAACUAAUUAAAGAAUUCAAAUAUCAAAAAAUAUUCAACUCAUGACCAAACAAC